This 484-nucleotide ribosomal RNA is filed under the name uncultured bacterium. Its description in RNAcentral is "partial 16S ribosomal RNA". It matches the Rfam family "Bacterial small subunit ribosomal RNA", at positions 30 to 507 of the family's 1533-position model. The record is from RNAcentral.
AUUGAACGCUAGCGGGAUGCCCUACACAUGCAAGUCGAACGGCAGCGCGGACUUCGGUCUGGCGGCGAGUGGCGAACGGGUGAGUAAUGUAUCGGAACGUGCCCAGUAUCGGGGGAUAACUACGCUAAAGCGUAGCUAAUAUAGCAUACGCCAUACGGGGGAAAGCAGGGGAUCGUAAGACCUUGCACUAUUUGAGCGGCCGAUAUCGGAUUAGCUAGUUGGUGAGGUAACGGCUCACCAAGGCGACGAUCCGUAGCUGGUUUGAGAGGACGACCAGCCACACUGGGACUGAGACACGGCCCAGACUCCUACGGGAGGCAGCAGUGGGGAAUUUUGGACAAUGGGCGAAAGCCUGAUCCAGCCAUGCCGCGUGUGCGAUGAAGGCCUUCGGGUUGUAAAGCACUUUUGGCAGGAAAGAAACAUCGCGUGCUAAUACCCCGUGGAACUGACGGUACCUGCAGAAUAAGCACCGGCUAACUACGUG